GCAACCAUGUUUUCAAUACUGCCAUUUAUAUGUAUGGUUUAGUUGAAGCAUGUUGUCCUUCAUUAAAUUUAAUGGUUUUAAUGGAAAUUAGCGAUUUAAAAUGUAUUUUUGUAACUGUUUCUAAUAUAAUAUCAGUUUUUAGUAAUAAAUUCACAUUCAUGGAUGUUGGAGCUCAUAACAGAAGUUUUAAAUAAGUAAGAAAUAAACUCAUAUUGUUGAAACCAUUUGCUAUUUUAUGCGAACUUAUAUAAUUGUUCCUAGACAUUUUUACGUAAAACGUACAAAAAUUAUAGAAUAUUUGCUAAAAUUUAAUUCACGUGUUGUAAACGAAUCACACAGAAGUGUAUUAUGUUGACGGAAGUCUACACGAUCGACCAAUCACGCUCCCAUUACUCUUUACGUCAUUUGACAGGUAGCGUAACUAGGAAGUAAACAUCUAACGCUAUAAUGGCAAGAAAGUCGUCCAAGUUAAGCCCCUACUCAAAUAUGUUACUAAAUUUCGUUUUAUAUAGUAUUUUUUAUGAAUUCGCCUUCGCCUUUCCGUCAUAUCCCGAAUCCAGACAGUCAGAAAGUUUGGAGAAACCCACCUCAACACCAAACAAUCAACAGGUUCUAAGUCUGCAUUUAGGAGUUAUCGCGUCUGUUGUGAUCGUUAUUGUUGCUGCAGUAGCAGCUGCUGUAUUCAUCAUACGGAGUUACUGCUGUCUGCAGAGUAAUGUAACAUAUAGAUAUUCAGAGCUGCGACAAAUGGAAGCGGAAAAUGCAGCCAGAGAAGAGGACGAUGGUUCAGAUGAGGACCUUUUGGAGUGAAUCGUGCAGCACAAUUUAUCCCUGACGUUUCUCUUCCUUUUUUAAUCCUGUGACAUUAUAUGGCCAAAAGCAUCACAUGGGUCAUUUAAAAACCACCAAGAGUCCCUGAAAUAUUUAUCUCUGUUCCACCAUUUUUCAGCACGGAUAUGUCCACCAACCAGUUAAAAUUAGCUGGUUAAAUCUGGCAGGAUUCAAAGGCUAAAAUCUCCUACGUGAAAGAGCUGUGGGGAAGCGGUUCAGAAAUACUAAAAGAUGCUCAUUGGAGAUAAAAGUUACUAUGAUUUAUUUGCAGGCAAAUAACUUAUGAAACUAGCUGUUAUGGUUGUCGGUUGUGGUGACCAUUGCUUAAAACUUGGUCAAUACUUGGAACUACUUUUUAAAGAAGAACUUGUUUAGUAUUUUCUUGAAUUUCUCAAUGCAAGGUACGUUGUACCAAAGUCGGUUGAAAUGAUUGUUCCUCUAUUUAUUGUGCCUGACCUUUUCUUUUAAAAAACAGCUUUAUGAUCUCAGGGUUGUUCCCACUGGAUACUGUGAGCAGUGCCACCAAUACCAGAAGCACAUCUGAAAUAGCAUUUGACUGUAAACAAGUCUUAUCCACUGUAAUGAUGCUGCAGACUUUGCAUUUCAGUGCCUUACUGAAAUCUGUUACUGUAUAAUUUAACUCUUGUGGUAUUUUGAACAAUGAUAUGCACUCAUAUGCCAGUAUUGAUAUUUAUAGUGGCAGUGUUUGACUUCACCUCUAUUUUAAGAUGACAAUGUUGAUACAGAAUUAUUAUGUGCAGUCCAGAGCUCCACAACAGUGUUUUUAUGAGCUCAGUCCAUGAUGGGAAGUAUUUUUGAUGGAUGCUAAUUGAAUUCUGUAUCUUUAGAUUUUCAUAUGUUUGCACCUUCUUUUCUGAGACUGAACUACUGACUACUUAAAAAAAAUAGUUAAUUUAACUGAGAAGGAAUAAAAUUAUGUACAUGAAUAUUCCUUGUAUGUUU
This is a long non-coding RNA of Cyprinus carpio (common carp), 1794 nucleotides long. Lineage: Eukaryota; Metazoa; Chordata; Actinopteri; Cypriniformes; Cyprinidae. The record is from Ensembl.